GUCGUAACAAGGUUUCCGUAGGUGAACCUGCGGAAGGAUCAUUACCGAUUCUAAUACCUCAAUCACUGUGUACUCGGUUCGCUGCGCGGCAGCAGCUCCUUUCGGGGUUGGCCGGCUCUCUGUUGUCGGUCAUUAAAUCGGGGUUCGCGCCUCGGGCCCCGAUCGGAGCUGUCUGCCCGCUGCAGCGAUUUUCCCGUCUCCGCGCCUUCGUGCGGCGGAGGCAUUGCGGUGAACAACCGCGCUUUGUUUUUUCAACCUUGCCAACUUGUAGACGUAACGUCGGGCUUUCGAACGAAAGCUUGUCUUGAUUCUGAAUCAAAUGACAACUUUCAACGGUGGAUCUCUUGGCUCGUGGAUCGAUGAAGAACGCAGCAAAACGCGAUAUGUAGUGUGAAUUGCAGAAUUCAGUGAAUCAUCGAAUCUUUGAACGCAAAUGGCGCCCCUGGGUAUUCCCAGGAGCAUGUCUGUCUCAGUGUCGUUUUCACCUCGAGCGCGCUUCGGCGCGGUGGUCAUGAGGCGUCUGGGAAGCCCUUGGUUGCUCCCAGUCCCUUGAAAUGCAGUGGCCGGACAGUUGCGUGCUUUUCGGGUCGGUUCGUCCCGGAUUCGCUCGCACGGCUGAUGGUGAGAUUCCUCGUAAUCUCCCUUGUCGUGUCGCAGCGGCCGGGUGGAGCCUGUCUCGAGCUUGAGCCCCUGUCCGAAUCAAGCCAGCUCUGGAAAACGUCGCUUCUUUCUUUUCGGAGAAGGAAACACCUUCGACCUGAGAUCAGGCAAGACUACCCGCUGAAUUUAAGCAUAUUAAUAAGCGGAGGAAAAGAAACCAACAGGGAUUCCCCCAGUAACGGCG
This 844-nucleotide ribosomal RNA is filed under the name Clathrina clathrus. Its description in RNAcentral is "eukaryotic LSU rRNA". The stretch from base 325 to 478 matches the Rfam family "5.8S ribosomal RNA". The record is from RNAcentral. Lineage: Eukaryota; Metazoa; Porifera; Calcarea; Clathrinida; Clathrinidae.